Molecule: unclassified non-coding RNA, 329 nt
Filed under: soil metagenome
Description: partial contains 5.8S ribosomal RNA, internal transcribed spacer 2, and large subunit ribosomal RNA
Rfam family: 5.8S ribosomal RNA (bases 1-120)
Source: RNAcentral
GAUGAAGAACGCAGCGAAAUGCGAUAAGUAGUGUGAAUUGCAGAAAUCAGUGAAUCAUCGAAUCUUUGAACGCACAUUGCGCCCCUUGGUAUCCCGAGGGGCAUGCCUGUUCGAGCGUCAUUUCACCACUCAAGCCUGGCUUGGUGUUGGGCGACGUCCUCUUUGGGGACGCGCCUCGAAACGCUCGGCGGCGUGGCACCGGCUUUAAGCGUAGCAGAAUCUUUCGCUUUGGAAGUCGGGGCCCCGUCUGCCGGAAGACCUGCUCGCAAGGUUGACCUCGGAUCAGGCAGGGAUACCCGCUGAACUUAAGCAUAUCAAUAAGCGGAGGA